UGUGUGUGUGUGUGUCAACAACCGCUCUAACCACCAUCCACCGCACCACUGUUCAUCAUCUACCACACCAGCACACUGUAAUGAUGUCUCGUCUCUUGAGCUCUCUCCAGCCCGGUUUCUCUCAGGGUCCUUCCUCAUGGCAUCUCAGGAAGAUUUUCCUUGUUCGGGGCUCUACGUCCAGCAAAGUAAAAAAAAAAAAUUAAUAAAAUUGGGCUUUAAAAUGAACUGUUGUUGUGAGCCUGAUCCUAAAUGAUGUUUUAUAUAGUAGAAAGAUUUUUUUGUGAGUGUUUCACAUUUCAAAAUGAUUGCCAUCUGCAAUAUCAGCAGUCGGCCACUAGAGGUCACAUUUCUUUAAUGUUUAUUAUAACUGUAAAAGAUAAAAUGUUGAUUAAUAUAAUAUAAUAUAAUAUAAUAUAAUAUAAUAUAAUAUAAUAUAAUAUAAUAUAAUAUAAUAUAAGAAGAAUAAAUUUAUUUGUUAAUUAAAAAAUAUGAAUUUUAAUAUAAAACUCUAUAAGUAUUAUUGUCUAACAUUUCAUAACCUGUUAGUGAUUUUAAUAACAACUAACAAAUUAUACACACAUACACACACACACACAUGCUUGGCUCACUAAGAGAUAGAUUUUCUAAAACCUUGAACAUGUGAAUGAUCCUCCUGGACCCACUUCCUCCUCCACGGUGCCUGGCAGCUGCUCAGUGUGAGGAGCGUGACACAAGACCCACAGAGGAUUGUUCACGUUACACAAAAAAAAGUUAAAAAUCCUCACCAUUACUUUACUGGAUGGAGAAAACCGGAAUAUCGUGGCUUUGCUUUGUGUGGUGUGUGUGUGUGUGUGUCAACAACCGCUCUAACCACCAUCCACCGCACCACUGUUCAUCAUCUACCACACCAGCACACUGUAAUGAUGUCUCGUCUCUUGAGCUCUCUCCAGCCCGGUUUCUCUCAGGGUCCUUCCUCAUGGCAUCUCAGGAAGAUUUUCCUUGUUCGGGGCUCUACGUCCAGCAAAGUAAAAAAAAAAAAUUAAUAAAAUUGGGCUUUAAAAUGAA
Silurus meridionalis is the source of this 1044-nucleotide long non-coding RNA. RefSeq lists it as uncharacterized. NCBI's taxonomy places the organism in Eukaryota, Metazoa, Chordata, Actinopteri, Siluriformes, Siluridae. The record is from RefSeq and is a predicted model, not a curated record. The transcript has 2 exons.